ACCGGGGCCGGCCCCGGGAGCAGUUCCGGGGCGGUGUCCGGUGUCACCGCCGCUUCCUCGGCGGGCGAUUCGAAGGCGAUGUCGGGGCCCGCCGGCGGUGUCUCGGCGGGCGAGCUGGACCCUCUGGCGCUGGGCCCGGCGCUGGAGUACUCGCUGUCGCUGCUGGAGCCGGGCGCCGGCCAGGCGGAGCAGCAGCGGCAGCGGGCGGACGAUGCCCCCAUGCCCAUGGUGUUCCUGUGCGCCGGCUGCCGGCGGCCCGUGGGCGACACGUCCAGCUGGGUGUCCAACGACGAGGAGACCGGCUGCAUCCUGCUGCGCAGUGCGGCCGCCAGCGUCGCCGUGGACCCGGAGCGGAAGAUCUCCAGUCUGCCCGGCGAGUGCGGAUGCAUAGUGGAAACCUUAUUUUGCUCUGGUUGCUCAAAGACACUUGGCAGCAUCUACAGGUGCACCUCAAGGAGCCUCGACUACAAGAGAGAUUUGUUCUGUUUCACUGUUGACUCUGUUGAAAGCUAUAUUCUAGGAACCCCAGAAAAGCAAGCUGACAUUCAUGAGGAACCACUUACUCUUGAAAGUCAAGCUGUCUUGCAAGAGGCGCUGGAAAGGGUGGAUACGCUGUUCAAGGCUCUGGAGACAAGACUGGCCACUGUGGAGUCGCGUGUGGCUGCUCUGCAAAGGCAGGUUUGACAGGAAACACGUGCUGAGCUGCAGGAGAAGGGCGGAGGUGACAGAUGGCCCUGUGAUCCUCUGGGAACUGUGGGAGCAUUGCAGAGACUGUGGAAGAGCUGGAAGCCAUGGGUGGCCUGUGUGGUGGGGGAGCAGUGCUGACCAAGGCUGUGUCCCAGCCAAGGAGUUCCUCUUACGUCCCUGAAGAGGAAACCCCAGGGUUUUGUUUUUCUUAAUAAAGACUUCUGAGCAGACUAUCUGUAGAAUUCUUGUUUAAUGUAAAUACUUAUUUAAAUUUUUGUCUUUGAAAGCAAAAAUUUAUCUCCUGACUUCCCUGCUAUUCAGUAUCUACUGAACUGGAUGUGCACUUUCCUAAGCUAAUGAAAAAACCUCCCUGUGGUUCUGUAAUUCCCAAAGGAACAGCAUUAAGUCAUUUAUGUGUUCCUUGUCUCCAUAGCUUUAAUUUGACUCGUGCUCAAAGACAGGAAUGGCUCAAUAACUGUAUGUAGUGAAUUGUUUGUUUGGCAGGGGUUUUCUGCAAGUUCAGGGCUAAAAUGUGAUGUAAGAGAAGGCUUUUUUUUGCAGCAUUAGAUUUUUGCAGCACUGCAGCUUUUCAAGCUUUCCAAGUCACCUCAUUCUGGUUUAAACUCUCUUGAAAUAUGCUUAGUAUGGUUUUUUUCAUUGUUAUGGUUUUGGGUUUUUUGUUUGUUUGUUUGUUUGAUGAUUUGGUUUUCUUUUUUUGCCUGGCUUAGGAAAAUUUAACAGAUCUCACUUUUUUUCUCUCCAGUUGAGUGUAGUGUUACCUUCUUAAUUAAAAAAACAUUUGCUGUAUGGAAAAUGCCUUGUGAAGGGACAGGUAGGAGCUAUUUUAAUGGCCAGUGCCACAGCCCUGUACCACACAGAUUCCCAGGAAGUGGGGAGCCCUCUGCCAGGCAGACACACCGGGCCAGGUUCCUGCGGAUGCUGCUGCUGUACCCGGCUCAUGAGUUCACUGCAGAUCCCAAAAAUCCCACAGGAGGGAAGAUCAUUACUUGUGCAUCCACCACGAGGCUGUACCUGCUGAAAGGCUGAGGUGAGCCCAGGAUCUGUAAAAUCCCUGACUCCCCGUGCCUUCCUGAGGCAGAAGCCGUGUUUGCUGUCAGUGACGACGUAGUGGAAGAUGCUAAAGACUGAAAACUCCGGGUUUUUUCCCCUGAAUCCCAAGACACUCUCUCUCUGCAGCUGUGCUCUGUCUGUCUCUUAAAAGGGUUUCUGGGUUUAGAAAGGUUUUUACAUUCUGCAAUAUUUAUCUAUAACUCAAUUAAAAAGUGUCAUACUGUA
RNA transcript from Motacilla alba alba, 1983 nucleotides. It is a transcript of the gene named MIS18 kinetochore protein A, with no coding region annotated. The transcript is spliced from 7 exons. The record is from RefSeq and is a predicted model, not a curated record. NCBI's taxonomy places the organism in Eukaryota, Metazoa, Chordata, Aves, Passeriformes, Motacillidae.